Octodon degus (degu) is the source of this 1246-nucleotide long non-coding RNA. RefSeq lists it as uncharacterized. The record is from RefSeq and is a predicted model, not a curated record. The transcript is spliced from 4 exons. Lineage: Eukaryota; Metazoa; Chordata; Mammalia; Rodentia; Octodontidae.
UCGCACUGCUAUUUUUUCUCCCUUGUGACUGUCACCUUCACCUCUCUGAAGCACCGUGAAGGACUGCGCACUCUGAUUCCAUUUUUUGGAGCCCCUGCUAAAGCUUUGCUGCAAAAUAUCAGCUGCCAGCAUGUGGCUGUGUGUCGUGAUUUACCAGUGGGUGAGGCUACAGGUGAAGGAUGUGGACUCGCGGUGGGGACAACGCACUUAGCAAGGCGAGCCUGACCUGAGGGCUGAGCGGUUGUGGCGAGAAGGAAAACCCUGAACGCAGCUGGCCAGCCACAGAGUUCUUUGAAUUUGAGCGUGUCAUUGAAAAGUCUGUGAAAUGAAUGACCGAUACCCAAGACAGGCUUCCUGGGACCAUCUAGUGCUGAUCUCUGCAGCCUCACCUUUCCUUCCUGCCUCCAGUGGUCCAUCCCUGCCCCCAGGGUGACCUGUCUGCUCCUGAGAGCCCAUGGCCACGCCAUCUGCGGGCCUCCGAGGCAACCACCCCCACUACCACUGCUGUUUCCAUAUUGCUAAACCUCGAAAGCUUUCUCUUCCACAAAUCCUUCCCUGAUCAUUCCAGGAUGCUGGCCGUGAUGCGUGCGCGCGAGGAAACAUCCCUGGCUCACUGCGCUUCCACCUGCGUUCAGAGCGGAAGAAGAGAGCAAGAAAAUAACGUAGGAAAGUACUUCUGCCAGUCUGCCCCGACUAGACUACCUGCUCUGGUUCCUACGGGUUUGUGGUGCUCAGUGCAGAAAGCUCUUAUUUUCCCUAGCCCCAGUACUGUAAACAAACUAUUCUUCCAAAGCUGUGAGGGAAUCUCGCUGAGGCGCUCAGCGCCUGGGCGGGCUGGACCUGCAACUGCCUGCCUUCUCCCCCAGGUUUAGGGUUCCGGGCGUGCACCAGUGGACCUGCCUAUUACGCGCUCUUUAGUACUGGCUUGGCUACAGCACAGUGCAUGGUACUUAGAGCGCAGUUCAUAUUUACUAAACAGACGAAGAAACAAAGAUUAUAUGGUUAACUGAAAUUGAUUAAUUGCACAGACUGUCAAAUUAUAGAAAUUCAAGAACCUAGGCAAUGUCUGUCUUGUUGUUUUACUGCCCGACGCUUAUUGUAGGAGACAGAAACACUUUAGUUGGAAGUCUUAGUGAGAGUUGUGCUUUCUCCAAACACCAUUAUAAAGGAGUUUCAUCACACUGAUAUCGCAAAUUCUUAUUAAUGAACUCUAAAUGUAAUGUCUGCACUGGCUGUCAAGAAAGAA